UCGGUUGAUCCCGCCGGACCUGACUGCUAUCGGAUUGAUACUAAGCCAUGCGAGUCUUUGUAGUAAUACAAGGCAUACGGCUCAGUAACGCGUAGUCAACCUACCCUAUGGACAAGAAUAAUCUCGGGAAACUGAGCAUAAUUCUUGAUAGAUCAUAAUGCCUGGAAUGGUUUAUGGUUAAAAUGAUUCGUCGCCAUAGGAUGGGACUGCGGCCUAUCAGCUUGUUGGUGAGGUAAUGGCCCACCAAGGCGAUUACAGGUACGGGCUCUGAGAGGAGAAGCCCGGAGAUGGGUACUGAGACAAGGACCCAGGCCCUAUGGGGCGCAGCAGGCGAGAAAACUUUGCAAUGUGCGAAAGCACGACAAGGUUAGUCCGAGUGAUUUCUGCUAAAGAGAUCUUUUGCUAGUUAUAAAACCACUAGUGAAUAAGGGGUGGGCAAGUUCUGGUGUCAGCCGCCGCGGUAAAACCAGCACCUCAAGUGGUCAGGAUGAUUAUUGGGCCUAAAGCAUCCGUAGCCGGCUCUGUAAGUUUUCGGUUAAAUCUAUGCGCUCAACGUAUGGGCUGCCGAAAAUACUGCAGAGAUAGGGAGUGGGAGAGGUAGACGGUACUCGGUAGGAAGGGGUAAAAUCCUUUGAUCUAUCGAUGACCACCUGUGGCGAAGGCGGUCUACCAGAACACGUUCGACGGUGAGGGAUGAAAGCUGGGGGAGCAAACCGGAUUAGAUACCCGGGUAGUCCCAGCUGUAAACGAUGCAGACUCGAUGAUGCAUUGGCAUAUAGCCAGUGCAGUGUCGCAGGGAAGCCGUUAAGUCUGCCGCCUGGGAAGUACGUACGCAAGUAUGAAACUUAAAGGAAUUGGCGGGGGAGCACCACAAGGGGUGAAGCCUGCGGUUCAAUUGGAUUCAACGCCGG
RNAcentral lists this ribosomal RNA (911 nucleotides) under uncultured archaeon. Its description in RNAcentral is "bacterial SSU rRNA". It matches the Rfam family "Archaeal small subunit ribosomal RNA", at positions 4 to 921 of the family's 1478-position model. The record is from RNAcentral.